GCACAGUAUUGUGAAUCACAACGGUUGAUGAGCACGUGAAGGCAGCACAAUCGGUGGUACCGAGUCUGUUGUUACUGAUACCACAGCUGCUCCCGAGAGGACAGAAAACGUCAGUGUGCGUCCGUAAACCUGGUGACCGAGGGCUGAAAUGGCUGUAUGUGCAAGUGCACAUCAUUUUCUUGUUAUGCCAGAUCUGCAGCAGUGUGAGAGGGCAGAAGGUAUAAAAUACCUGGAAUGGAUGUCAGAUUUUGUUUCCAAAUACAAAAACAAGCAUUUCAGCUUGAAGAAUCCAGCUGGUGCCAUGCUGAGGAUAGCAGGGCUGGAGGACACCAUGUACAGAGGGAAACAUGAUGAAGUGAAUGGCUGGGGAAAAUUCUACCUUCCCA
Molecule: non-coding RNA, 386 nt
Organism: Neolamprologus brichardi
Lineage: Eukaryota; Metazoa; Chordata; Actinopteri; Cichliformes; Cichlidae
Source: RefSeq, a predicted model, not a curated record